Molecule: ribosomal RNA, 175 nt
Filed under: Effusibacillus lacus
Lineage: Bacteria; Bacillati; Bacillota; Bacilli; Caryophanales; Alicyclobacillaceae
Description: partial 16S ribosomal RNA
Rfam family: Bacterial small subunit ribosomal RNA
Source: RNAcentral
ACUGAUUUGAGAGUUUGAUCCUGGCUCAGGACGAACGCUGGCGGCGUGCCUAAUACAUGCAAGUCGCGCGGCUUGAAUCGGAGCUUGCUCUGAGGAUGGCAGCGGCGGACGGGUGAGUAACACGUGGGCAACCUGCCUGACAGACCGGGAUAACGCCUGGAAACGGGUGCUAAUA